Molecule: ribosomal RNA, 460 nt
Filed under: uncultured bacterium
Lineage: Bacteria
Description: partial 16S ribosomal RNA
Rfam family: Bacterial small subunit ribosomal RNA
Source: RNAcentral
CCUACGGGGGGCUGCAGUGAGGAAUAUUGGUCAAUGGGCUUACGCCUGAACCAGCCAAGUCGCGUGAGGGAAGACUGCCCUAUGGGUUGUAAACCUCUUUUGUCAGGGAGCAACGCCGGCUACGUGUAGCCGGACUGAGAGUACCUGAAGAAAAAGCAUCGGCUAACUCCGUGCCAGCAGCCGCGGUAAUACGGAGGAUGCGAGCGUUAUCCGGAUUUAUUGGGUUUAAAGGGUGCGCAGGCGGAAUUUUAAGUCAGCGGUAAAAUCGUGGGGCUCAACCCCAUUCCGCCGUUGAAACUGGGGUUCUUGAGUGGGCGAGAGGUAUGCGGAAUGCGUGGUGUAGCGGUGAAAUGCAUAGAUAUCACGCAGAACCCCGAUUGCGAAGGCAGCAUACCGGUGCACAACUGACGCUCAGGCACGAAAGCGUGGGUAUCGAACAGGAUUAGAUACCCCAGUAGUC